AGUGAACGCUGGCGGUAGGCCUAACACAUGCAAGUCGAACGGCAGCACAGUAAGAGCUUGCUCUUACGGGUGGCGAGUGGCGGACGGGUGAGGAAUACAUCGGAAUCUACUUUUUCGUGGGGGAUAAUGUAGGGAAACUUACGCUAAUACCGCAUACGUCCUACGGGUGAAAGCAGGGGAUCUUCGGACCUUGCGCGAUUGAAUGAGCCGAUGUCGGAUUAGCUAGUUGGCGGGGUAAAGGCCCACCAAGGCGACGAUCCGUAGCUGGUCUGAGAGGAUGAUCAGCCACACUGGAACUGAGACACGGUCCAGACUCCUACGGGAGGCGGCAGUGGGGAAUAUUGGACAAUGGGCGCAAGCCUGAUCCAGCCAUACCGCGUGGGUGAAGAAGGCCUUCGGGUUGUAAAGCCCUUUUGUUGGGAAAGAAAAGCAGCAGGUUAAUACCCCGCUGUUCUGACGGUACCCAAAGAAUAAGCACCGGCUAACUUCGUG
This 492-nucleotide ribosomal RNA is filed under the name uncultured bacterium. RNAcentral describes it as "partial 16S ribosomal RNA". It matches the Rfam family "Bacterial small subunit ribosomal RNA", at positions 29 to 507 of the family's 1533-position model. The record is from RNAcentral.